Ciona savignyi (Pacific transparent sea squirt) is the source of this 119-nucleotide non-coding RNA. The record is from Rfam. Lineage: Eukaryota; Metazoa; Chordata; Ascidiacea; Phlebobranchia; Cionidae.
GCUUAUCACCAUUCCAGAUUGAAUAUACCCGAUCUCGUCUGAUCUCGGAAGUCAAGCAAUCUCUGGCUUGGUUAGUACUUGGAUGGGUGACCGCUUGGGAAUACCAAGUGUGAUAAGCA